ACGCUCGACACCUACGGAGGCAGCAGUGGGGAAUAUUGCACAAUGGGGGAAACCCUGAUGCAGCAACGCCGCGUGAAGGAAGAAGGUUUUCGGAUCGUAAACUUCUAUCAAUAGGGAAGAAAGAAAUGACGGUACCUAAAUAAGAAGCCCCGGCUAACUACGUACCAGCAGCCGCGGUAAUCUGAGCGGGCUGGCAAGGC
Molecule: ribosomal RNA, 200 nt
Filed under: uncultured bacterium
Lineage: Bacteria
Description: partial 16S ribosomal RNA
Rfam family: Bacterial small subunit ribosomal RNA
Source: RNAcentral